This 253-nucleotide ribosomal RNA is filed under the name uncultured bacterium. Its description in RNAcentral is "partial 16S ribosomal RNA". It matches the Rfam family "Bacterial small subunit ribosomal RNA", at positions 524 to 776 of the family's 1533-position model. The record is from RNAcentral.
UACGUAGGGUGCGAGCGUUAAUCGGAAUUACUGGGCGUAAAGCGUGCGCAGGCGGUGAUGUAAGACAGGUGUGAAAUCCCCGGGCUUAACCUGGGAACUGCGCUUGUAACUGGCAAGCUGGAGUGUGGCAGAGGGGGGUGGAAUUCCACGUGUAGCAGUGAAAUGCGUAGAGAUGUGGAGGAACACCGAUGGCGAAGGCAGCCCCCUGGGCUAACACUGACGCUCAUGCACGAAAGCGUGGGGAGCAAACAGG